Molecule: ribosomal RNA, 253 nt
Filed under: uncultured bacterium
Lineage: Bacteria
Description: partial 16S ribosomal RNA
Rfam family: Bacterial small subunit ribosomal RNA
Source: RNAcentral
UACGAAGGGGGCUAGCGUUGCUCGGAAUCACUGGGCGUAAAGCGCACGUAGGCGGCUUCUUAAGUCAGGGGUGAAAUCCUGGAGCUCAACUCCAGAACUGCCCUUGAUACUGAGGAGCUCGAGUCCGGAAGAGGUGAGUGGAACUCCGAGUGUAGAGGUGAAAUUCGUAGAUAUUCGGAAGAACACCAGUGGCGAAGGCGACUUACUGGACAACUGUUGACGCUGAGGUGCGAAAGCGUGGGGAGCAAACAGG